GCCAGGUGUGGUGGCGGAUGCCUGUAAUCCCAGCUACUCAGGAGGCUGAGGCAGGAGAAUCACUUGAACCUGGGAGGCAGAGGUUGCAGUGAGCCAAGAUGGCACCACUGCGCUCUAGCCCAGGCAACAGAGUGAGACUCCGUCUCAA
RNAcentral lists this non-coding RNA (148 nucleotides) under Pan troglodytes (chimpanzee). Lineage: Eukaryota; Metazoa; Chordata; Mammalia; Primates; Hominidae. The record is from Rfam by way of RNAcentral.